This is a long non-coding RNA of Anabas testudineus (climbing perch), 6298 nucleotides long. NCBI's taxonomy places the organism in Eukaryota, Metazoa, Chordata, Actinopteri, Anabantiformes, Anabantidae. The record is from Ensembl.
UUCUACUUUUCCUUUAAGGAGUCCACUUUAUUUUGAAACAUCCGUGCUCUUAUUGUGACGACGCCAACCGGACGUGGUGAGCUCCUUCACGGCAGCUUGACGCACGCGCAUUGAGUCGAGGAAGCGAAGUGAUCCGCGCGGUUCCGAGGCUGCGGUUCGACACCAGGCUCGACCCGGUGUCUCUACACGGAGCUCGACCUUUAUCCGAGGAUGGAAGAGCACCCGAAGAAGUCUCUCACAGCCUGACAAGUCGGCGGGACGCAGAAAACGCCAAGAAGUGCGGGGACAUAAUGUGUUAGCGCCCGUUAGGAGCGGGGCUGGUUACGGAUGGUACGGUGUGUCCGGGCAGGUAAACGUUAGCUUGACUAGCCGCUCAGCUAGUAGCAGCAGGAGGCUAGGAGGCUAACAGCCGCUGACCAACUAACUAGUUGGGCUGGAUGAACUGUGGCCAGAGUCGGUACCGAACCCACCGAGCAUGGGUCGUUUGUGUCCCACAAACCAUCCUCUGUCCCUGUGAACUGUCACUAUCCGCCCUUUUCAUUGUCUUCAAGGAGAAACUAGCGGCAGAGGUGCUCCAGCGCUGAUUGACAGCUCGUCACACCGGGGUUCCCAGAUGUGGAGGCGGCGUGAGAGGCGCAGCUAGGCUCCGGGGCAGCUAGCUGCAGGACGGGCUGCUCACCAGGAAUGGAUGACACCAACAAACUUUUCUGCGGACUCUCAACUCAGCACAGGGCUUCAACAAAGCGAUGAGUUUCAUUUUGCCAGUGAGGUGUCACUGUAGUCCACAGCAGACGAGCUGACACGUCGAGUUUGCCCAGUGUUUGUCUAGAGGUCUGAGCCCCGACAGAACCAGCUCCCUCCGGGGUCAGCCCCGCAAACGAGGAGCCUUUUUACACUUACACGAACUAUGAAGAGGACAGAAAACAAAAACAAGAGGAAACUCAACAUGGAACAGCAGGACAGCGUCGGAGAGGACAAAGAUGCGAAGGAGUUUGCAGCCCCCCCUCCUCUCCUCUUCAGGAAGCUGAGUAAUCCCGACCUAUCACCUGCAGCAGCGACCGCCACAAAAUCCAAACUUCACAGACAGCUCAGCCAGGAUGAGAGCCGGGCUCGACGCAGCAGCAUGGCUAUGACUGGUAAGCAGCUGCUGCCUCUGUCUAGCAGUCUGCACACAGGGGUGAGUCAGCUAGCCUGGCAAGGGGCCUCUGGAGGAGAGGUGAACAACCUGGUCCGCAUGAGGAGCCAGGCUCUGGGACAGUCUGCUCCAUCACUCACUGGACUGAAGGAGUUGAGCCUUCCCAGAAGAGGCAGCUUCUGUCGGACGAGCAACAGGAAAAGCCUGAUAGUGACAUCUAGCACCUCCCCCACUCUGCCACGACCACACUCUCCUCUGCACGGGCACACAGGUACCAGUCCCCUCGACAGCCCUCGCAACUUCUCCCCGAACACAGCUGCACACUUCUCCUUUGUUCCUGCUCGCAGUCACGGACACAGGGCUGACAGGACGGAUGGCAGACGCUGGUCUCUGGCCUCCCUGCCUUCCUCUGGCUAUGGUACCAACACUCCCAGCUCCACUGUCUCGUCCUCCUGUUCAUCUCAGGAGAAACUGCACCAGCUGCCCUUCCAGCCCACGCCGGACGAGCUGCACUUCCUCACCAAACACUUCAGCUCAGAGAGCAUCACAGACGAGGAGGGACGCCGCUCCCCCGCCAUGAGACCGCGCUCCCGCAGCCUCAGCCCGGGACGCUCCCCCAUCUCCUUUGACCAUGAGAUUGUUAUGAUGAACCAUGUGUACAAGGAGAGGUUCCCUAAGGCGACGGCUCAAAUGGAGGAGCGACUGGCUGAGCUGCUCUCCUCCUCGGCCCCAGAGAAAGUCUGCCCACUGGCCGACGGGGUCCUGAGCUUCAUCCACCAUCAGCUGAUAGAGCUGUCAAGAGACUGCCUGGAGAAAAGCAGAGAGGGCCUCAUCACUUCUCGCUACUUCUACGAGCUCCAGGAGAAUCUGGAGAAGCUGCUGCAAGAUGCUCACGAGCGCUCAGAGAGUGUGGAGGUUACCUUUGUCACACAACUUGUAAAGAAACUGAUGAUCAUCAUUGCCCGGCCUGCACGCCUGCUGGAGUGUCUGGAGUUUGAUCCUGAGGAAUUUUACCACUUGUUGGAAGCAGCAGAGGGCCAUGCCAAGGAGGGCCAGGGCAUCAAGUCCGACAUCCCCAGAUACAUCAUCAGCCAGCUGGGCCUUACCAGGGACCCCCUGGAGGAGACCCGGCAGCGUUUCGCCAUGAAGAAGAUCAACAAACAGAACCUGAUUCUGAGAAACCAGAUCCAGCAGGCCUUUGUGGAACGAGACAUCCUGACGUUUGCUGAGAACCCGUUUGUCGUCUCUAUGUUCUGUUCUUUUGAGACUAGGAGGCACCUCUGCAUGGUGAUGGAGUAUGUAGAGGGUGGAGACUGUGCCACGCUGCUGAAGAAUAUUGGAGCCCUGCCGGUCGAUAUGGCUCGUAUGUACUUUGCAGAGACCGUCCUCGCAUUAGAGUAUCUUCAUAAUUAUGGCAUCGUCCACAGAGACCUUAAACCAGACAAUCUUCUCAUCACUUCGAUGGGACACAUUAAGCUGACAGACUUUGGUCUGUCUAAGAUUGGUUUGAUGAGUUUGACGACAAACCUGUAUGAAGGACACAUUGAGAAAGACACCAGAGAAUUCCUGGAUAAGCAGGUGUGUGGCACCCCAGAGUACAUCGCCCCAGAGGUGAUUCUACGUCAAGGCUACGGGAAACCGGUGGACUGGUGGGCGAUGGGAGUCAUCCUGUACGAGUUCCUGGUGGGCUGCGCUCCCUUCUUCGGAGACACACCAGAGGAACUGUUUGGGCAGGUCAUCAGUGAUGAGAUUAUGUGGCCUGAGGAGGAUGAAGCUCUGCCUCAGGAGGCUCAGGAUCUCAUCUCCAAACUGCUAAGACAAAACCCCCUGGAGCGACUGGGCACAGGAAGUGCCUAUGAGGUGAAGCAGCACCCAUUCUUCACAGAGCUGGACUGGAACAGCCUGCUGAGACAGAAAGCAGAAUUCAUCCCCCAGCUGGAGUCUGAGGACGACACCAGCUACUUUGACACUCGGUCUGAUCGGUACCACCACGUCGAUUCAGAGGAAGAAGACGACACCAACGAUGAUGAACACGUGGAGAUUCGGCAGUUCUCCUCCUGCUCACCUCGCUUCAGCAAGGUGUACAGUAGUAUGGAGCGUCUAUCCCUGCACGAGGAGAAGAGGACUCCUCCUCCCACCAAACGCAGCCUCAGUGAGGAAGGAGGAGAUCGCAUUGACAGCCUGAGUGGACUCAAGUCCAGAGAUCGAUCCUGGCUGGUGGGCUCUCCAGAGAUACUGCGGAAGCGUCUGUCAGUCUCUGAGUCGUCCCACACAGAGAGUGACUCCAGCCCACCUCUGACAGUCCGGAGACGCUGCUGCUCUGCUAUCAUUGAGAUGCCACGUCCGAGUGCAGUGAGAGGUCCCCGGGGCGAAGAGCUCCCCCUCGCCAUCCCAGAGAUCCCAGUGGAGAGAGAGCUGAAGCUGGACGAGUCUCCCACCACCCCAAGCUCCACCUGUAGCCAGCUAAGCAGGGCCACGCUCACACCCGACAGUGACUCUCCAUCGACUCCAAAGGCCAUCAGUGACCUGGCUGCUCGCAGGGCUCGCCAUCGGCUGCUGUCAGGAGACACGGACAAGCAUACCACAACGCCGAGCUCCUUCUGUACGUCCUCAGACCACCAUGGAGCCUCCCCACUAGCCAGCCCAAUGUCACCCCACUCGUUAUCUUCCAACCCAUCAUCACGAGACUCUUCUCCAAGCCGAGACCUGUCCCCUGCCGUGAGCAGCAUCAAACCUGCCAUCAUCAUCCACAGAGCGGGAAAGAAGUACGGAUUCACAUUAAGAGCCAUCCGCGUCUAUAUGGGAGACUCUGACAUCUACACGGUGCACCACAUGGUCUGGCAUGUGGAGGGGGGCGGUCCAGCCCAUGAAGCCGGGCUGAGGGAGGGCGAUCUGAUCACUCAUGUCAACGGAGAGCCGGUCCACGGUCUGGUUCACACUGAGGUGGUGGAGCUCAUACUGAAGAGCGGUGCCAAAGUGUCCAUCUCUGCCACCCCGUUUGAGAACACGUCCAUCAAAGUCGGCCCUGCCCGAAAAACAAGCCACAAAUCCAAGAUGGCGCGACGCAACAAGAAGACCAAGAACAAGGAGGGACAAGACAGUAAGAAGAGGACGUCUCUGUUCAGGAAGAUCACCAAGCAGGCGUCUCUCCUCCACACCAGCCGCAGUCUUUCUUCUCUAAACCGCUCUUUGUCCUCUGGGGAGAGUGGACCCGGCUCACCAACACACAAUCUGUCACCACGGAGCCCAACACAGGGCUACAGGUCCAUACCUGACUCUGCCCACUCAGUUGGUGGAAACUCAUCUCAGAGCAGCUCCCCCAGCUCUAGCGUCCCAAACUCCCCGGCAAGUUCUGGCCACAUCCGCCCCAGCUCCCUGCACGGUCUCGCCCCGAAGCUCCAGCGUCAGUACCGCUCUCCACGACGCAAGUCUGCUGGCAACAUCCCCCUCUCCCCUCUGGCCCGCACACCUUCACCCACACCUCAGAGCAGCUCACCUCAGCGCUCACCCUCCCCGCUGCCUAGCCACAGUCUGGGACAGGCUGCUGUGGGCCAGUCAUUCCCUGUGAAGCUCCACUCCUCCCCUCCCCUGGUGAGGCAGAUAUCCAGACCUAAAAGUGCAGAGCCUCCUCGUUCACCACUUCUCAAGAGGGUGCAGUCUGCUGAGAAACUGGCUAAGCUGCCAGUGGGAGCAGCUGUGGGGAGUCGUAAACACAGCCUGGACAUCUCACAUUCAGAGUUUAAGAAGGAGAUUCUGCAGAGGGAGCCGAGCCUUGAGGGUCUACUUAAGCUGAAGGACAAACUGUCCGCCAUUCGACAGGACAGAGCAGAACGCAGGGAAUCGCUUCAAAAGCAAGAUGCCAUCCACGAGGUUGAUUCAUCUGAGGACGAGACAGAUGAGGGCUCAGAGGACAGCCAGGAUGGACGCAGGGGGACGACUUUUACCCCUCCCCCCCUCCUGAGGCCCACCACUGUGAGAACAGGCCCUGGGGGCACUCUGCCGUCCCUCUGCCUCUCCCCAUCCACUCCCCACGCCACAUUCACGCACACUGGGCCCUCACAGAUCGGCAGACCCACUCCCUCACACACCCUCCCCUCCGUUUCCGAAACAAAGUCUGCACAGAGCUUGUCAUCGGUGGGAGUAAAGGAGGGGAGCUCCAGCUCCUCAACAGAAGAGGGUGCAAGACAAGAGAGGAGGGUUCUGGAGCCAAGCGGUACCACCAAACCCACUCAGGGUCCCCUUCCCUUCUCCACUCCAGGCAGUGCAUUCAUCUCCGUCAGCAAGGACAUGUUCCUCAAGCCAACUCCUCCACAAGACUCAAAGGGCCUCAGAGGGAAGACGGGACCAUCAGAGCUCAGAGCAGAGGAUCAAACCCUGGAUAGCCCUAGAACCACUGCUCCAUCAACGACGAGCAAUACAAGUACUCCUGACUGCAGAACUACAACUAAGUCCCCAGACUCCCACACCGCCACAAGCACUACAGACAGCCAAGAGACUCCCCGCACGUCCUGCUCCUCUCCAGGCAUCCCCAAAGAGAAGAAGGAGGCCGACAACCGGAGACUAUGUGCCGCCGCUGCAGCUGCAAGUCUGAGUGCGUCUUCUUCGCCCAAUUCUAGCUCCAACUCAAGCUCCAGCUCCCCGGUUCCACCCUCUGAGAGUGGGGUAGACAGAGUUGUGUCCCAGCUUGCUACAGUAGCUAAAUCCGUUCUUGGUCCUGUUAAACUCAGCAGUGUUUCUGACAGAAAGGACCCGAAGCCAUCCAGAGGAGCAACCCCAGAAGUGCCCCAUACUGACCCCCUUUCAUUCCACUCCAAACAGGUCCCAGCUCCACAUCUAUCUCCGACCAGGCAGAGAACUGAGCGAGUUGCCUCUCCAGCAACCUCCCAGAGGUCAGCCAGAUCUUCAGCCCAGAAAGACUGUGCAGCCCCAGCACCGCCAUCCUGCAAGGACGUCCCAGGGUCUGUGGAUAGAGAGAAUGCUGCCACCUCUGCAUCUGUACAGCAGCUGGGUGCCGCUGCAGCUCAGGCCGCCCUCAAUGCAAGCCUCCCCGUCUCUGCAGCAUCUGAGCCACAGCGCAAGCGGUCCGAGCCCCAGACAGCAACUGUCACCAACGUCAUGUCCGCCUCCUCGCAACAAGACAAAGCAACCAGCAAGAAGACGUAG